Molecule: ribosomal RNA, 403 nt
Filed under: Fusobacteriota bacterium
Lineage: Bacteria; Fusobacteriati; Fusobacteriota
Description: Fusobacteria bacterium partial 16S ribosomal RNA
Rfam family: Bacterial small subunit ribosomal RNA
Source: RNAcentral
UGGGGAAUAUUGCACAAUGGAGGGAACUCUGACGCAGCGACGCCGCGUGAACGAAGAAGGCUUUCGAGUCGUAAAGUUCUUUUAUAUGGGAAGAUAAUGACGGUACCAUAAGAAAAAGCCCCGGCUAACUACGUGCCAGCAGCCGCGGUAAUACGUAGGGGGCUAGCGUUGUCCGGAAUCACUGGGCGUAAAGGGUUCGCAGGCGGAAAUGCAAGUCAGGUGUAAAAGGCAGUAGCUUAACUACUGUAAGCAUUUGAAACUGCAUAUCUUGAGAAGAGUAGAGGUAAGUGGAAUUUUUAGUGUAGCGGUGGAAUGCGUAGAUAUUAAAAAGAAUACCAGUGGCGAAGGGGACUUACUGGGCUCAUUCUGAAGCUGAGGAACGAAAGCGUGGGUAGCAAACAGG